UGAGCAAUCUGCCCUUCUCUUCGGAAUAAGCGUUGGAAACGACGUCUAAUGCCGAAUACGACCUCCUUUCGCAUGAUCGGAGGUGGAAAGCUCCGGCGGAGAAGGAUGAGCUCGCGGCCUAUCAGCUAGUUGGUGUGGGUAAUGGCCCACCAAGGCGACGACGGGUAGCCGGCCUGAGAGGGUGACCGGCCACACUGGGACUGAGACACGGCCCAGACUCCGUACGGGGAGGNAGCG
Molecule: ribosomal RNA, 237 nt
Filed under: uncultured bacterium
Lineage: Bacteria
Description: partial 16S ribosomal RNA
Rfam family: Bacterial small subunit ribosomal RNA
Source: RNAcentral